Molecule: ribosomal RNA, 253 nt
Filed under: uncultured bacterium
Lineage: Bacteria
Description: partial 16S ribosomal RNA
Rfam family: Bacterial small subunit ribosomal RNA
Source: RNAcentral
UACGGAGGGUGCAAACGUUGCUCGGAAUCAUUGGGCGUAAAGCGCACGUAGGUGGCUUGUUAAGUCGGGUGUGAAAUCCCUGGGCUCAACCCAGGAAGUGCACUCGAAACUGGCGAGCUUGAGUACUGAAGAGGGUCGCGGAAUUCCCGGUGUAGAGGUGAAAUUCGUAGAUAUCGGGAGGAACACCAGUGGCGAAGGCGGCGACCUGGUCCAUUACUGACGCUGAGGCGCGACAGCGUGGGGAGCAAACAGG